GGAAACGACUGCUAAAACCCGAUGUGCCUAAGGGUGAAAGUAUUUAUAGCCUGGAGAUGAGCUCGCGUCUGAUUAGCUAGUUGGUAGAGUAAGAGCCUACCAAGGCGACGAUCAGUAGCUGGUCUGAGAGGAUGAGCAGCCACACUGGGACUGAGACACGGCCCAGACUCCUACGGGAGGCAGCAGUGGGGAAUUUUCCGCAAUGGGCGCAAGCCUGACGGAGCAAUACCGCGUGAGGGAGGAAGGCCUUUGGGUUGUAAACCUCUUUUCAUAGGGAAGAAAAAAAUGACGGUACCUAUUGAAUCAGCAUCGGCUAACUCCGUGCCAGCAGCCGCGGUAAUACGGAGGAUGCAAGCGUUAUCCGGAAUUAUUGGGCGUAAAGAGUCCGUAGGCGGUACCUCAAGUCUGCCGUUAAAGGCUGGAGCUUAACUCCAUUAAGGCGGUGGAAACUGUGGGACUAGAGUCUAGGAGGGGUAGAGGGAAUUCCCAGUGUAGCGGUGAAAUGCGUAGAGAUUGGGAAGAACACCGGUGGCGAAAGCGCUCUACUGGACUAGAACUGACGCUGAGGGACGAAAGCUAGGGGAGCGAAAGGGAUUAGAUACCC
Molecule: ribosomal RNA, 604 nt
Filed under: uncultured Oscillatoriales cyanobacterium
Lineage: Bacteria; Bacillati; Cyanobacteriota; Cyanophyceae; Oscillatoriales
Description: bacterial SSU rRNA
Rfam family: Bacterial small subunit ribosomal RNA
Source: RNAcentral